GGUAACACUAACUGGAGGACCGAACCGACUAAUGUUGAAAAAUUAGCGGAUGACCUGUGGCUGGGGGUGAAAGGCCAAUCAAACCGGGAGAUAGCUGGUUCUCCCCGAAAGCUAUUUAGGUAGCGCCUCGUGAAUUCAUCUCCGGGGGUAGAGCACUGUUUCGGCUAGGGGGCCAUCCCGGCUUACCAACCCGAUGCAAACUGCGAAUACCGGAGAAUGUUAUCACGGGAGACACACGGCGGGUGCUAACGUCCGUCGUGAAGAGGGAAACAACCCAGACCGCCAGCUAAGGUCCCAAAGUCAUGGUUAAGUGGGAAACGAUGUGGGAAGGCCCAGACAGCCAGGAUGUUGGCUUAGAAGCAGCCAUCAUUUAAAGAAAGCGUAAUAGCUCACUGGUCGAGUCGGCCUGCGCGGAAGAUGUAACGGGGCUAAACCAUGCACCGAAGCUGCGGCAGCGAUGCUGGAGGUAUCAGAAGUGCGAAUGCUGACAUAAGUAACGAUAAAGCGGGUGAAAAGCCCGCUCGCCGGAAGACCAAGGGUUCCUGUCCAACGUUAAUCGGGGCAGGGUGAGUCGACCCCUAAGGCGAGGCCGAAAGGCGUAGUCGAUGGGAAACGGGUUAAUAUUCCCGUACUUGGUGUUACUGCGAAGGGGGGACGGAGAAGGCUAUGUUGGCCGGGCGACGGUUGUCCCGGUUUAAGCGUGUAGGUGUGUGUUCCAGGUAAAUCCGGUUCACUUUAACACUGAGGCGUGACGACGAGGCACUACGGUGCUGAAGCAACAAAUGCCCUGCUUCCAGGAAAAGCCUCUAAGCAUCAGGUAACAUCAAAUCGUACCCCAAACCGACACAGGUGGUCAGGUAGAGAAUACCAAGGCGCUUGAGAGAACUCGGGUGAAGGAACUAGGCAAAAUGGUGCCGUAACUUCGGGAGAAGGCACGCUGACACGUAGGUGAAGUGAUUUACUCAUGGAGCUGAAGUCAGUCGAAGAUACCAGCUGGCUGCAACUGUUUAUUAAAAACACAGCACUGUGCAAACACGAAAGUGGACGUAUACGGUGUGACGCCUGCCCGGUGCCGGAAGGUUAAUUGAUGGGGUCAGCGCAAGCGAAGCUCCUGAUCGAAGCCCCGGUAAACGGCGGCCGUAACUAUAACGGUCCUAAGGUAGCGAAAUUCCUUGUCGGGUAAGUUCCGACCUGCACGAAUGGCGUAAUGAUGGCCAGGCUGUCUCCACCCGAGACUCAGUGAAAUUGAACUCGCUGUGAAGAUGCAGUGUACCCGCGGCAAGACGGAAAGACCCCGUGAACCUUUACUAUAGCUUGACACUGAACAUUGAGCCUUGAUGUGUAGGAUAGGUGGGAGGCUUUGAAGUGUGGACGCCAGUCUGCAUGGAGCCGACCUUGAAAUACCACCCUUUAAUGUUUGAUGUUCUAACGUGGACCCGUAAUCCGGGUUGCGGACAGUGUCUGGUGGGUAGUUUGACUGGGGCGGUCUCCUCCUAAAGAGUAACGGAGGAGCACGAAGGUUGGCUAAUCCUGGUCGGACAUCAGGAGGUUAGUGCAAUGGCAUAAGCCAGCUUGACUGCGAGCGUGACGGCGCGAGCAGGUGCGAAAGCAGGUCAUAGUGAUCCGGUGGUUCUGAAUGGAAGGGCCAUCGCUCAACGGAUAAAAGGUACUCCGGGGAUAACAGGCUGAUACCGCCCAAGAGUUCAUAUCGACGGCGGUGUUUGGCACCUCGAUGUCGGCUCAUCACAUCCUGGGGCUGAAGUAGGUCCCAAGGGUAUGGCUGUUCGCCAUUUAAAGUGGUACGCGAGCUGGGUUUAGAACGUCGUGAGACAGUUCGGUCCCUAUCUGCCGUGGGCGCUGGAGAACUGAGGGGGGCUGCUCCUAGUACGAGAGGACCGGAGUGGACGCAUCACUGGUGUUCGGGUUGUCAUGCCAAUGGCACUGCCCGGUAGCUAAAUGCGGAAGAGAUAAGUGCUGAAAGCAUCUAAGCACGAAACUUGCCCCGAGAUGAGUUCUCCCUGAGACUUAGAGUCUCCUGAAGGAACGUUGAAGACGACGACGUUGAUAGGCCGGGUGUGGA
This 2080-nucleotide ribosomal RNA is filed under the name Salmonella enterica subsp. enterica serovar Typhimurium. RNAcentral describes it as "bacterial LSU rRNA". It matches the Rfam family "Bacterial large subunit ribosomal RNA", at positions 755 to 2871 of the family's 2925-position model. Lineage: Bacteria; Pseudomonadati; Pseudomonadota; Gammaproteobacteria; Enterobacterales; Enterobacteriaceae. The record is from RNAcentral.